This is a long non-coding RNA of Drosophila biarmipes, 819 nucleotides long. RefSeq lists it as uncharacterized. The transcript has 2 exons. The record is from RefSeq and is a predicted model, not a curated record. NCBI's taxonomy places the organism in Eukaryota, Metazoa, Arthropoda, Insecta, Diptera, Drosophilidae.
UGGAUCUCUGGCACUGGACCAAUCCAAUGCAGUCCAAAGCGAAACGAAACCCGAACAGAGCAAGUUCAAUGCCAUUAGGCAAACUGCCACUGAAAACAUUUCCACCAACUAUUCUCCGACUGUCCAUAAAAGUGGUUAAAUAUGUAUAAACACAGAAACACUUCACAUAUCUGCCGGCGAAUACGAAAAUAUUUAUUGCGUAGGAACACAGGGACACAGCGGCACUUCGAAUUGCGAUUCGCAUGGGAUUGGAAAUCGAGGGGGGAAAUGGGGAUGGGAGUUGUCUCGAUGACUGCUGAUGAGGGGCCAAGUUUAAUGGUUGCAGAAGAAAAACUUGAAGAUGAGAUUGCACUCGGAAUUGGACGAGGCAAGGCGGGCCAGGUAUCCCCAACCAGAUGCAAAUAAAUGGAGGCAAGGAAAAAUAUUCCAAAUACUUCAAUCAAAGUUGUUUAGAUAAUGAGGCAUCUAUUGCAAUGGCAGGGAACAGAAAAUCCACAAGAACGUGGGACUUGAAAUCCACAUAAUACAGUGCAGAUACUUCGAAAUUGAAUAGAGACUAUCUCAGCCAGCCGCAAAUUGUAAACAAUAUUUUUGAAAACUUUUACCGACGUCGUAAAAAAUAGUCUAAAACCCAUUGCAAAUUCCCCACUUUGCUCAGCGGAAUAGCGGAAAACACUUCAGGUCCCACCUUGUUUAUAUGGCAAGCAUUUUCCCUUAAAGCUACGUUUUAUUUUCAAGUCGUAAACGUCUAUACGACCUGCAGCGCCAAUGGAUUUUCAAUAAACGGUUCUGUUUUCAUACCGCCCAUAAAAAGUUAAA